This 521-nucleotide ribosomal RNA is filed under the name uncultured bacterium. RNAcentral describes it as "bacterial SSU rRNA". It matches the Rfam family "Bacterial small subunit ribosomal RNA", at positions 26 to 518 of the family's 1533-position model. The record is from RNAcentral.
AGGACGAACGCUGGCGGCGUGCCUAAUACAUGCAAGUCGAACGGUCUUUUCUAUGGAAGCUUGCUUCCACUGAAAAGAUAGUGGCGAACGGGUGAGUAACACGUGGGUAACCCUGCCCACGAAGAGGGGGAUAACAUCCGGAAACGGGUGCUAAUACCGCAUAGUUUCUUGAUCGCAUGAUCGGGAAAGGAAAGACGGCCUUUGUGCUGUCGCUUAUGGAUGGACCCGCGGCGUAUUAGUUAGUUGGUGAGGUAACGGCUCACCAAGACGAUGAUACGUAGCCGACCUGAGAGGGUGAUCGGCCACAUUGGGACUGAGACACGGCCCAAACUCCUACGGGAGGCAGCAGUAGGGAAUCUUCCGCAAUGGACGAAAGUCUGACGGAGCAACGCCGCGUGAGUGAAGAAAGGUUUUCGGAUCGUAAAACUCUGUUGUCAGAGAAGAACAAGUUGGAGAGUAACUGCUCCAGCCUUGACGGUAUCUGACCAGAAAGCCACGGCUAACUACGUGCCAGCCGCCGC